Molecule: ribosomal RNA, 520 nt
Filed under: uncultured Entrophospora
Lineage: Eukaryota; Fungi; Glomeromycota; Glomeromycetes; Entrophosporales; Entrophosporaceae
Description: SSU rRNA
Rfam family: Eukaryotic small subunit ribosomal RNA
Source: RNAcentral
AGCAGCCGCGGUAAUUCCAGCUCCAAUAGCGUAUAUUAAAGUUGUUGCAGUUAAAAAGCUCGUAGUUGAAUUUCGGGAUUGGCGCAUCGGUCGUGCCUUACGGGGUAUGAACUGGUGCAGUCAAUUUCUCACCUUCUGGAGAACCGCGAUGUCCUUAAUUGGGUGCCGCGGGGAACCAGGACCUUUACUUUGAAAAAAUUAGAGUGUUUAAAGCAGGCAUUUUUGCUUGAAUACAUUAGCAUGGAAUAAUAAAAUAGGACGGCAUGGUUCUAUUUUGUUGGUUUCUAGGACCACCGCAAUGAUUAAUAGGGAUAGUUGGGGGCAUUAGUAUUCAAUUGUCAGAGGUGAAAUUCUUGGAUUUAUUGAAGACUAACUACUGCGAAAGCAUUUGCCAAGGAUGUUUUCAUUAAUCAAGAACGAAAGUUAGGGGAUCGAAGACGAUCAGAUACCGUCGUAGUCUUAACCAUAAACUAUGCCGACCAGGAAUCAGACGAUGUUAAUUUUUUAAAUGACUCGUUUU